UGCUAGUGUCACAGGUUACUCCUUUGCUAG
Molecule: non-coding RNA, 30 nt
Filed under: Homo sapiens (human)
Lineage: Eukaryota; Metazoa; Chordata; Mammalia; Primates; Hominidae
Source: RNAcentral